AAGCAACGCGAAGAACCUUACAGGCUUGACAUGCAGAGAACUUUCCAGAGAUGGAUUUGGUGCCUUCGGGAACUCUGACACAGGUGCUGCAUGGCUGUCGUCAGCUCGUGUCGUGAGAUGUUGGGUUAAGUCCCAUAACGAGCGCAACCCCUAUCAUUAGUUGCCAUCAGUUCGGCUGGGCACUCUAUGGAGACUGCCACCUAAAGUGGAGGAAGGUGGGGAUGACGUCAAGUCAGCAUGGCCCUUACGGCCUGGGCUACACACGUGCUACAAUGGUCGGUACAAAGGGUUGCCAAGCCGCGAGGUGGAGCUAAUCCCAUAAAACCGAUCGUAGUCCGGAUCGCAGUCUGCAACUCGACUGCGUGAAGUCGGAAUCGCUAGUAAUCGUGAAUCAGAAUGUCACGGUGAAUACGUUCCCGGGCCUU
This 425-nucleotide ribosomal RNA is filed under the name uncultured Pseudomonas sp. RNAcentral describes it as "bacterial SSU rRNA". It matches the Rfam family "Bacterial small subunit ribosomal RNA", at positions 954 to 1382 of the family's 1533-position model. The record is from RNAcentral. Lineage: Bacteria; Pseudomonadati; Pseudomonadota; Gammaproteobacteria; Pseudomonadales; Pseudomonadaceae.